Molecule: RNA transcript, 2853 nt
Organism: Populus trichocarpa (black cottonwood)
Lineage: Eukaryota; Viridiplantae; Streptophyta; Magnoliopsida; Malpighiales; Salicaceae
Gene name: serine/arginine-rich splicing factor SR30
Exons: 12
Source: RefSeq, a predicted model, not a curated record
UCCAAGCAAACAAAUGAAUUACUAUAACACUUAAGGGUAACACAGGAAAACACCUCCUCAAAUUUAAAUCUCCUCUCUCCUUCGAGAAGAAUCUUACGAACUCGAGAAAGCUCUCAGAAACUCCCUCUCCAGUCUUAAGUCUUGACUAAAAGAGAAAAAAAAUGAGCCGAGCAAGUCGAACACUUUACGUCGGAAAUCUUCCUGGUGAUAUUCGCCUGAGGGAAGUUGAAGAUUUGUUUUAUAAGUAUGGGCCCAUUGUCGACAUUGAUUUGAAAAUCCCGCCAAGGCCUCCAGGCUAUGCUUUUGUUGAGUUUGAAGAAGCUCGUGAUGCUGAAGAUGCAAUUCGUGGCCGGGAUGGAUAUAAUUUUGAUGGGUGUAGAUUACGGGUUGAGCUUGCCCAUGGUGGGCGAAGACAUUCAUCACCAGUGGAUCAUUAUAGCAGUUACAGUGGUAGCAGUGGUAGCCGUGGGCCUUCCAAGCGCUCUGACUAUCGUGUGUUAGUGACUGGAUUGCCUUCUUCUGCUUCAUGGCAAGACCUAAAGGAUCAUAUGCGUCGAGCUGGUGAUGUCUGCUUUUCUCAAGUCUUUCGUGAUCGUGGUGGCAUGACAGGAAUUGUGGACUACACAAACUAUGAUGACAUGAAAUAUGCUAUCAAGAAGCUUGAUGACUCUGAGUUCCGGAAUGCAUUUUCAAGGGCAUAUAUUCGGGUGAGGGAGUAUGAUUCUAGACGGAGUUACUCUAGGAGCCCCAGUCUCAGUUCAUAUGUGUCAAGAAGCCGGAGUCGAAGUCGCAGUGGAGGCUAUAGUGACAGGAGCUGGAGCAAGUCUCCCAGGGCAAAACAUUCACGGCGUUCUCGAUCUGUAUCUGUUUCUUCUCGCUCUCGUGCAGGAUCAUCUCCACGAUCUUUUUCAAGGUAUACCAUUUCUGCUUUUCUUUCUGUCUUGGUCGUUAUUUUAAGAUGUUCAAUAAGAUAUUUACCAAAGUUUUUACUUUGUUGUAACUCAAGGUCAUUUUUAUCACAAAUGGUUGAUAGGUGUUACAAUUUGCAUUAGACCUUUUUUAUUUAUUUAUACAUCUUGAUUUGCAUUUUUAUCUAAUGGGAUGGGUUUCUAAGAGAAGGGAAAUUAGAAGGGCUGAUUAUCCAAGAAAUGGGAAGAUAAUAGGGAAUUAGGGAAAAGAUAAAUCUGUAAACAUUCUAUUCUCUUCUGCAUUUGGUUGCCGUUUUAUUCUUCCUACUGCCCUCCUUUUUACAUCAUAAGUCAUGAGUUUUCCAUGAUUUUAUUAGCAACUCUUUUCUUCAUUCCUUUAUAAGAUUUAGUUGAAAUCACUUCAAUUUUGACAUGCACGUCUUUUUGUUAUUGCAUUUUCCCAAAGAGCUUAUAAUGUUGGAUUCCUUUAUAACUAUUACAUGAAAGAGCCAGAGUGUGGAUAAAUAAUCUAAUUUUUUAAUUUUUUGUUAUUCAUUAAGGUCGAUUUUACUGAAUCAAUGCGCAAAAGCUUAUGAAAUAGUAGCAAUAAGCCAAUAACUUGGUUUCUCAUGACCAUUGACUCAUCCCAUCUAGAGCAGCAUAAUAGCCAAGGUUACAGCUUCAGUUUUGCACGCAUCUGACUUGAGUUCUAAAGCUUCUUGGUGUCUUUGAAUGGACAUUCACACGGGUAGAACAUAUUUCUAUCGCCUCUAUUACAAAAAGUUUUGAAAGUCCCAAGUCCUUAACUUUUCAUGAUUGACUGGUCAAUGUUAAAUCUUUGUUGGCAUGAGAAACACGCCUUAUGAUUAAGUUACUGGAGCAUCGACAGAAGCCCACUUACACCUGCAGAAACUUUUGAGGCUGAUCACAAUUUUAGGUAGAGUAAUGAUUGUAGUUCUUUCUUUGCAUUUUCAAAUUUACUACUACAGAGCAUAUUCUUCGAUCUCAAUGUCUGGCUCUUUGUGCCUGCCUGUUAUCUUCCAUUCCUUAGUGAGCUUGCCAUUUUAGUGAGCCUGUUAUCUUCUGGCUCUUUUAAGUGAUUCAUCUUCGUUCUCAUUUGUUUUGUUGGUCAAUCUUUUUGUUUUUGUUUGUAUCUGCUAGUAUGUCAGUGGAUGAAUCCCCAAAUUUCAUAGUAUUUUUCAGUAAUUUCCUUCUUCUGAUGGUGUCUUUCCUUGAUAAUUGGAAAUUUCAAAUGCUGUGGCAAUAUCAAGUGUCUUGUACCAUGGCAUUCCAACAUAAACCUUCUAGCUGUGCAACUUCAUGCUAUUCUUAAUCUUUCUUCUUCACCAAUUUGACAAUCUUGGUUAGAUGCUAAUAAAAUCUUAACCGCCUUUUGGAAAUGGAAAACUAAUCUUUGCUUGAAAGAGUGAAAAGUGCCACCAGGAAAGGGUUUCUGAGUUGGCUAGUAGCGUACCUUGUUUGUCUUCCUUGUUUGUUUUGCUUGAUCUGGCUUUAUGCAGCGACCUGACCACCUGGGGGAUUGGAUGUUAAGGACUUGAUGGGAUGUGGUGGUCAUAUGCUUGCACCUCUUUGCUUGUUUUGAGGUAAUGCUGUUUUUGUUGAUGGGCACCUCUGGAAAAUCCUCAUAAUCUCGUAAUGCUAUUAAGUUGGUUCCUAAUAAUCUCACAAUGCUAUUAAGUUGGUGUGUCAAUUAGCAUUAGAAUUGAUGAAGCUUGGAUGGGAUUAUGAUUUUAAAGCUGGAUUACUGUGAAGUAAGCACUAUUGGUGCCACCCGUCCAUCAGUGGUACAAAGAAGCUUGAAACUGCUUCGACAUUACCCUUAACCUGUGUUUGGUAUUCUCCUUGGAUUUGGUGAUACCGGCAGGGAGGAUGUAGCUCUUCUUUCUUCUGGUCCCUUUCAAGAUCAAGAUCUCCUCUUGCUUCU